Molecule: non-coding RNA, 590 nt
Organism: Taeniopygia guttata (zebra finch)
Lineage: Eukaryota; Metazoa; Chordata; Aves; Passeriformes; Estrildidae
Source: RefSeq, a predicted model, not a curated record
CUAGCUCAGCUUUGUGUUGAUGUGGAGGCUCUACUUUCACAAACACACAAUGUUUUAAUGUCACUUUUUAGAACCAACUUGAUGCAAAGGAAGUUUCUGCCAUCUGGAGAACACCCCUGCCUGGUGUCUCACAACUGUGAGCAGUUUGAGAGCUUUACUGGUUGAUGUGGAAAGAAUGCUACAAAAACACCUCUCACUUGCAAAGUUGUUUCCUGCCUUCUGAAUUUGCUGUGCACGAGCAGAACAUGGACCAAAUUGUCCAAAUCACUUUUCUUCUGUCAUUAUGGGACAGAGUUUCCUGAGGCCAUCAGGGCUCAAGUAUUGAGUAUCUCUUUGCACGUUUGGACUCAAUUUUAAUGACCGAGUCUCAAUUUAAUAUAAAUUCCUUCACAUGUAUAUAAAAUCUUCUUAGUUUUAAUAUUUUAGUUUUUAGUGUGAACUCUUUAGAGUGUUUCUUCCCAUCAUACAAGAAGCAUUCACUACCUUCCUGUAAUUUCUCUGUGUGUCAUUCGAAAAGCCUUAUUUCAUGGGGAGAUUUUUCUGUGGUAGGAAAUCAGCUUUUUGAUUAUUUGACAGAUCCCCGAGUCUGG